CUCCCGGCCCGAACGUGCCCUCUGCAGAUACCCGCGGGGUCAGGCCCUGCCACAGCCCGGCGCUCCAGCGCUAAUCGCGUCCUGCACCAGAUAUAUUUCCACACAAGCACCCUGAACAAAUCAGAAACAUUCACUGGAAAUGUGCAUCAGAAGAUAUACAGACAUCUGCAGACAUGCAACUGCCACAAGACAGCCAGUAAAAUCCCUGCUCUUUAAAAUCUCUUACAUCUCUCACCUUUGCUUUUGGCUGCUGCAGUGAUUUCAGAUACCUCAUUCCACAAAGGAGCUUAUUGGAUUGAUUUUUACUCUCUUCAGUGGGAGCAAUACCUUGUGUUCUG
This is a long non-coding RNA of Parus major (Great Tit), 338 nucleotides long. RefSeq lists it as uncharacterized. The record is from RefSeq and is a predicted model, not a curated record. The transcript has 3 exons. Lineage: Eukaryota; Metazoa; Chordata; Aves; Passeriformes; Paridae.